Molecule: transfer RNA, 84 nt
Filed under: Apicomplexa sp. WK-2018_Corallicola
Lineage: Eukaryota; Apicomplexa
Description: tRNA-Leu
Rfam family: tRNA
About the family: Transfer RNA (tRNA) molecules are approximately 80 nucleotides in length. Their secondary structure includes four short double-helical elements and three loops (D, anti-codon, and T loops).
Source: RNAcentral
GGGAACGUGGUGAAAUAGGUAUACACGACGGACUUUAAAUCCGUUAGCAUAAAAGCUGUGAGGGUUCAAGUCCCUCCGUUCCUA